UGGUUUUCAAAAAAUCUAAGUGUUGAAUUUCAAUGCAUUGAAAACAAAGCGGACGGACUAAGCAUCCUGUCCCAACCUACGGGUCUGUAAGAGGUGUUAUUAGUUCAACCGCUUUUCACGCAAGUAAAUUUAACUCUUAAAUACUUUUUUUAAAGGGUUUUUGUUACAAAUAUAUU
This 176-nucleotide small RNA is filed under the name Arabidopsis thaliana (thale cress). RNAcentral's name for it is "ATSL075360". Lineage: Eukaryota; Viridiplantae; Streptophyta; Magnoliopsida; Brassicales; Brassicaceae. The record is from RNAcentral.